CCUACGGGUGGCAGCAGUGAGGAAUAUUGGUCAAUGGAAGAGAGUCUGAACCAGCCAAGCCGCGUGAAGGAUGACUGCCCUAUGGGUUGUAAACUUCUUUUAUAUGGGAAUAAAACAGGGUAUGCAUACCAUCGUGCAUGUACCCUAUGAAUAAGCAUCGGCUAACUCCGUGCCAGCAGCCGCGGUAAUACGGAGGAUUCGAGCGUUAUCCGGAUUUCUUGGGUUUAAAGGGAGCGUAGGUGGAUUGUUAAGUCAGUUGGUAAAGUUGGGGGCUCAACCGUGACAUUGCAGUUGAAACUGGCAGUCUUGAGUACAGGAGAGGUAGGCGGAAUUCGUGGUGUAGCGGUGAAAUGCUUAGAUAUCACGAAGAACUCCGAUUGCGAAGGCAGCUCACUGGACUGCAACUGACACUGAUGCACGAAAGUGUGGGUAUCAAACAGGAUUAGAUACCCCAGUAGUC
This 460-nucleotide ribosomal RNA is filed under the name uncultured bacterium. RNAcentral's name for it is "partial 16S ribosomal RNA". It matches the Rfam family "Bacterial small subunit ribosomal RNA", at positions 338 to 795 of the family's 1533-position model. The record is from RNAcentral.